This 1212-nucleotide ribosomal RNA is filed under the name Triticum aestivum (bread wheat). RNAcentral's name for it is "partial small subunit ribosomal RNA". Lineage: Eukaryota; Viridiplantae; Streptophyta; Magnoliopsida; Poales; Poaceae. The record is from RNAcentral.
AUGGCGACCGGCAUCAGCAACGGCAGAGGCCCAUCGACGAACGACGCGCUCCAGUCGAUCCUCGCCGCCGCGCGCCCGUUCCUCCGCGGCGACCUCGCGGCCGUCGACCCCGAGCUCCCCUCGCUCGUCUCCGUCCUCGUGUCCGCCGGCGCCGGCGAGUGCUACCACAAGCACGGCACCUUCCUCGCCCACCUCCUCGACGUCUACCGGAUCCUUCGCCUCUGGGGCGCGCCCGACGCCGUCGCCCGCUGCGGCCUCUUCCACUCCUCCUACUCCAACUCCUACGUCAACCUCGCCAUCUUCGAGCCCGACGUCAGCCGCGCCCGCGUCCGCGGCAUCGUCGGGGCCGCCGCCGAGCGGCUCGUGCACCUCUUCUGCGUCGCCCCGCGCCACGCGCUCAUGCACGACGACCUCCACCUCCGCUACACCGACGCCGAGCUCCGGACCACCUCGCCGCCGCCGAUGCCUCCCUCCAGGCCGCGCACUCCGGCGGGGGCAGCCGGGGGACAAGGUGGAGCCGUGGCGCGUGAAGCUGCGGUCCGUGGUGCCGGAGGAGGGCGUGGUGGUGCCGCACAUCCGGACGGGGGAGCCGGUGGCGCUGUCGCGGCGCGUGCUGGCGGUGUUCGUGCUGAUGACCGUCGCCGACUUGAGCGACCAGUACACGGACUACCAGGACAAGCUGUUCCGCAACGACGACGGGCGCCUGGAGUUCGCCGGCGACAACUGGACCGCGCUCUGGCCGGGGACCGGAAAGCCCGGGCUGUGGAUGAGCGCCAUGUCCAGGCUCGCCGCGCUGUACCGCCUCAUCGCCACCGACGAGCAGCUCCGCCACAUGGAGGAUGGGACCCCGGCGAACAGAUCGCGGCGAGGGACCUGUACUGGGAGGCGAUCUGCAGCGACGGCAAGGAAGGUGUGGAGUCGCUGCUGCGGCGGUGCAUCGCGAAGAACCCGUACGUGGGGGAGCCGUGGCUGGUGCUGGCUCAGGUGCUGCUGAACGGCGGAGGGAGGUGGGAGGAGGCGGAGGCGGCGGCGGCGGAGGGGCUGAGGCUGGUGCUGGAGUGGGGCAGCAGCUGGGACAAGAGGAUGUCGUGGGAGGGGUGGGUGUCACGGGGGAGGGUGAUGAGGGACAAGGCCAAGGAGAAACAAUGUCCGCGCUCCGCCUGGGGCAUCAUCAACCUCGGACUCGUCAAGCAGAUCCACGAACACAACUAG